AAGCUAACGGGUGGAACCGUGAAGGUCGAAAGAGGGGAUUCAGCCGGCCGGUCUUGGGCGGCGGGUGCGGUACAAGUUGCAUUUCAGUGAGAGGACCCGGCGUAAACGUGUGUUGCCGUGGCCCCGUGCCUGUCGACCUGAGCCCUGUCGGCAUAGUUCUCCCUCGAGUAGUGGUCGUCGCGACCCGCUGGGCGGGCCCCGAGGGCCGCGCCGGACUGGUAGCCUGCACUCUGUUGGAGGCGAUGACCGGCUGCGGUACUGACUGGGCUUGCCCGGCGGUCACUGCAAGGAGGCCGCCUCGCGCGGCCUCUCGCGACGUGAAAGGGAUUGGUAAUCCACCCGACCCGUCUUGAAACACGGACCAAGGAGUCCAACAUGUGCGCGAGUCUAAGGGUGUACUAAAUCCGAAGGCGAAAUGAAAGUGAGCCCCUUGUGGGCAGGCCGAUCCCCUGUCGGCUCGGGGGCCGGAGGCCUUGCGGCGUGAGUUAAUUUCCGCUGUUCGUGCCGUCGGUCGCUGGGUUGGCGGCCGGUUCCUUCCGGGGAGCCGGAGAUGGGGCGCAGGCCGAGGACUUGCCAUUGUGCGGCGCGGGCAACGGGGUUUCGGCCUUUAUCCCGACGUCCGUCGGCAAGUACCUGAGAGCGCAGCCGUUGGGACCCGAAAGAUGGUGAACUAUGCCUGGCGAGGACGAAGCCAGAGGAAACUCUGGUGGAGGUCCGAAGCAGUUCUGACGUGCAAAUCGAUUGUCAGAGCUGGGUAUAGGGGCGAAAGACUAAUCGAACCAUCUAGUAGCUGGUUCCCUCCGAAGUUUCCCUCAGGAUAGCUGGCAUUCAGGAUGAUGAGUUUCAUCCGGUAAAGCGAAUGAUUAGAGGCCUUGGUGGUGCAAUGCCGUCAACCUAUUCUCAAACUUUAAAUGGGUGAGACGUGGAGCUUGCUUGAAACGUGAAGCUCUAUGGUGCAAGAAUCAGAAUGCC
RNAcentral lists this ribosomal RNA (972 nucleotides) under Anchistus miersi. RNAcentral describes it as "eukaryotic LSU rRNA". The stretch from base 248 to 972 matches the Rfam family "Eukaryotic large subunit ribosomal RNA", at positions 1 to 1123 of the family's 3401-position model. The record is from RNAcentral. Lineage: Eukaryota; Metazoa; Arthropoda; Malacostraca; Decapoda; Palaemonidae.